This 622-nucleotide ribosomal RNA is filed under the name Salmonella enterica subsp. enterica serovar Paratyphi B var. L(+) tartrate +. RNAcentral describes it as "partial 23S ribosomal RNA". It matches the Rfam family "Bacterial large subunit ribosomal RNA", at positions 567 to 1190 of the family's 2925-position model. The record is from RNAcentral. Lineage: Bacteria; Pseudomonadati; Pseudomonadota; Gammaproteobacteria; Enterobacterales; Enterobacteriaceae.
CAAGCAGUGGGAGCACCCUUUGGGGUGUGACUGCGUACCUUUUGUAUAAUGGGUCAGCGACUUAUAUUCUGUAGCAAGGUUAACCGAAUAGGGGAGCCGGAGGGAAACCGAGUCUUAAUUGGGCGUUAAGUUGCAGGGUAUAGACCCGAAACCCGGUGAUCUAGCCAUGGGCAGGUUGAAGGUUGGGUAACACUAACUGGAGGACCGAACCGACUAAUGUUGAAAAAUUAGCGGAUGACCUGUGGCUGGGGGUGAAAGGCCAAUCAAACCGGGAGAUAGCUGGUUCUCCCCGAAAGCUAUUUAGGUAGCGCCUCGUGAAUUCAUCUCCGGGGGUAGAGCACUGUUUCGGCUAGGGGGCCAUCCCGGCUUACCAACCCGAUGCAAACUGCGAAUACCGGAGAAUGUUAUCACGGGAGACACACGGCGGGUGCUAACGUCCGUCGUGAAGAGGGAAACAACCCAGACCGCCAGCUAAGGUCCCAAAGUCAUGGUUAAGUGGGAAACGAUGUGGGAAGGCCCAGACAGCCAGGAUGUUGGCUUAGAAGCAGCCAUCAUUUAAAGAAAGCGUAAUAGCUCACUGGUCGAGUCGGCCUGCGCGGAAGAUGUAACGGGGCUAAACCAU